UAUAGUAUGUAAGUAUUAGUUUUUUCCCACUUAACGGGGGGGUUUUUUUUUUAAGAAAAAGUACAUAUUAUGGUGGAAAAAACCUAUGUCGCACACUGAGGAAGGUUGCGACAAAGAAAAACCGACAAACGUGCCGAGGAAACAAACACAGAUUAUAUACAAAUUUAUGCACAUCAAUUAACAUGUCAACAAACAAGUGUUCUCUUAGUCAAUGGGUUUGUCAACACAGUAGUGACUUGAAAACGGUGACAGAUUCCGAAAAUUACUUUUAACGGUGAUUAAGUCAAGAGACAAGCGAGAGUAUGAUGGCCAAAGAGUAUAUAUUCAAAGACUUUUUUGUUGUAAAAAUAAUCAGUUAUAUUUUUAUAGGCCAAUCGAUGUAUUGACAAGUGAUAAAUAAUUUUAUAUUUUAAUAAAUUUUUUAAAUAA
This is a long non-coding RNA of Adelges cooleyi (spruce gall adelgid), 429 nucleotides long. RefSeq lists it as uncharacterized. The record is from RefSeq and is a predicted model, not a curated record. Lineage: Eukaryota; Metazoa; Arthropoda; Insecta; Hemiptera; Adelgidae. The transcript is spliced from 3 exons.